UACGAAGGGUGCAAGCGUUGCUCGGAAUUAUUGGGCGUAAAGCGCACGUAGGCGGCUAUCUAAGUCGGAUGUGAAAUCCGUCGGCUUAACCAAGGAAGUGCACCCGAAACUGGAUAGCUUGAGUACAGAAGAGGAUCGCGGAAUUCCCGGUGUAGAGGUGAAAUGCGUAGAUAUCAUGAGGAAUACCAGAGGCGAAGGCGGCUACCUGGACAAUUGCUGACGCUCAGGCACGAAAGCGUGGGGAGCAAAAGGG
RNAcentral lists this ribosomal RNA (253 nucleotides) under uncultured bacterium. Its description in RNAcentral is "partial 16S ribosomal RNA". It matches the Rfam family "Bacterial small subunit ribosomal RNA", at positions 524 to 776 of the family's 1533-position model. The record is from RNAcentral.